AGGCAGAGGGAGAAGCAGGCUGCCCUGUGGGACUUGAUCCGGGAACUCCAGGAUCACACCCUGAGUCAAAGGCAGACACUCAACCACUGAGCCACCCAGGCAUUCCUGAGAUUCUUGAUCAUGCCCUGAGUCAAAGGCAGAUAUGCUCAACUGCUGAGCCACCCAGGUGUCCUUUAAAAAAGCCUUUUCAAAAAAGAAAUCCCAUCUGUUUUUAUCCAAAAGCAGCAUUAUUGCAUUUUGAGUUAUGUGUUAUGUAUUACAGAUUCAAAUGGGACCCCUUUGAAGAAGAAAAUUCAUUUGGAAGAAUCAUUUAUCUCAUUUUUAGAAUGCUAGGUUUUUGUUGUUUAUACGUUUUUUUUUUCUAUGUCAUUUCAGGUGAUGAUAGUUGGAUUACAAAUGCUUUUUGCCCAGUUUCUGUUUCAAAAGCACCCCUAGGAUAUUGUGCUUCUCUCUCUCCUCUGUCAAGAGGUUCACUUAAUUCAUCUCACUACAUACACACCCAGUGGCAGAUAAUCUUACUGUCCCCAUUUUCCGGAUUAAGAAGGGUUUAUCUUUGUGAUGAUGAUUCAUCUCAUGAGAAUUUGAAUGCUGGUGGAAAAUUGUACAGAAAAUCCAGGUAA
RNAcentral lists this long non-coding RNA (620 nucleotides) under Vulpes vulpes (red fox). RNAcentral's name for it is "lncRNA (ENSVVUG00000010507.1)". Lineage: Eukaryota; Metazoa; Chordata; Mammalia; Carnivora; Canidae. The record is from RNAcentral.